RNAcentral lists this small nuclear RNA (104 nucleotides) under Macaca fascicularis (crab-eating macaque). Lineage: Eukaryota; Metazoa; Chordata; Mammalia; Primates; Cercopithecidae. The record is from RNAcentral.
AUGCUCACUUCGGCAGCACAUAUAAUAAAAUUGGAACAAUGCAGAGAUUAGCAUGGACACUGCACAAGGAUGACACAGAAAUUCGUAAAGUAUUCAAUAUUAUU